UCAAAUCAUCAUGCCCCUUACGUCCUGGGCUACACACGUACUACAAUGGCGGAGUUACAACGGGUAGCGACAUAGCGAUAUGAAGCCAAUCCCUUAAAAGCCGCCUCAGUUCGGAUUGCAGGCUGAAACCCGCCUGCAUGAAGUCGGAAUUGCUAGUAAUCGCGAAUCAGCAUGUCGCGGUGAAUACGUUCCCGGGCCUU
RNAcentral lists this ribosomal RNA (200 nucleotides) under uncultured prokaryote. Its description in RNAcentral is "partial 16S ribosomal RNA". It matches the Rfam family "Bacterial small subunit ribosomal RNA", at positions 1185 to 1382 of the family's 1533-position model. The record is from RNAcentral.